RNAcentral lists this ribosomal RNA (590 nucleotides) under uncultured bacterium. RNAcentral describes it as "bacterial SSU rRNA". It matches the Rfam family "Bacterial small subunit ribosomal RNA", at positions 338 to 944 of the family's 1533-position model. The record is from RNAcentral.
CCUACGGGAGGCAGCAGUGGGGAAUCUUGCGCAAUGGGGGCAACCCUGACGCAGCCAUGCCGCGUGAAUGAUGAAGGCCUUAGGGUUGUAAAGUUCUUUUGCCCGUGACGAUGAUGACGGUAACGGGAGAAUAAGCUCCGGCUAACUUCGUGCCAGCAGCCGCGGUAAUACGAAGGGGGCUAGCGUUGUUCGGAAUUACUGGGCGUAAAGCGCGCGCAGGCGGUUCGAUAAGUUAGGGGUGAAAUCCCUGGGCUCAACCCAGGAAUGGCCUUUAAGACUGUCGAGCUAGAGGACGAGAGAGGUGAGUGGAAUUCCCAGUGUAGAGGUGAAAUUCGUAGAUAUUGGGAAGAACACCGGUGGCGAAGGCGGCUCACUGGCUCGUUUCUGACGCUGAGGCGCGAAAGCGUGGGGAGCAAACAGGAUUAGAUACCCUGGUAGUCCACGCCCUAAACGAUGAGUGCAGUGUCGGAGCUAGCUCUCGCGCCGCNGCUACGCCUAACGCACUCCGCCGUGGGAGGUACGGCCGCGAGGUUAAAACGUUAAAGUAGAAUUAGAGGNGUGAGUGUUCGACGACGCGACGACGGAGGAGG